RNAcentral lists this unclassified non-coding RNA (337 nucleotides) under soil metagenome. RNAcentral's name for it is "partial contains 5.8S ribosomal RNA, internal transcribed spacer 2, and large subunit ribosomal RNA". The stretch from base 1 to 120 matches the Rfam family "5.8S ribosomal RNA", at positions 35 to 154 of the family's 154-position model. The record is from RNAcentral.
GAUGAAGAACGUAGCGAAAUGCGAUAAGUAGUGUGAAUUGCAGAAUUCAGUGAAUCAUCGAAUCUUUGAACGCACAUUGCGCCCCUUGGUAUUCCAUGGGGCAUGCCUGUUCGAGCGUCAUUUGUACCUUCAAGCUCUGCUUGGUGUUGGGUGUUUGUCUCGCCUCUGCGUGUAGACUCGCCUCAAAACAAUUGGCAGCCGGCGUAUUGAUUUCGGAGCGCAGUACAUCUCGCGCUUUGCACUCAUAACGACGACGUCCAAAAGUACAUUUUUACACUCUUGACCUCGGAUCAAGUAGGGAUACCCGCUGAACUUAAGCAUAUCAAUAAGCGGAGGA